Panicum virgatum (switchgrass) is the source of this 1705-nucleotide long non-coding RNA. RefSeq lists it as uncharacterized. Lineage: Eukaryota; Viridiplantae; Streptophyta; Magnoliopsida; Poales; Poaceae. The record is from RefSeq and is a predicted model, not a curated record. The transcript is spliced from 2 exons.
AUAAUCUAUUCUAAUUAUUUCCUCUGUAAAAGAGAUGGUCUCCAUGCUUGCUGAUAGCUAAGGAGUUGCUCAUCAGGCAUAGCGCACUAUAGUGCAGGACCUUGCAGGCUGCAGGCGUUUUUUUGGUGGUGAAAUUUGUGCUGAUGGAAUAGGUGCACCUUCACUAAUGGUGGAAAAUGCAAGGACUCAGUUGAGUAGAAGCAUGGGUGAGGAGCCUUUAGUAUAGAAAAUCCUGGAUGAAGUCAGCUAGAAAAGAAGAGUACACGAGAAAAGAAAAGAUUACACAAAAUUAUUUACAUUCUAUGUGUGGAAGAUAUCUUUUUUAGUAACAGGCAUUUUUCAGUUUGUAAAUUAUUUUCAUUCUAUAUAUUUGUGGAACAUGCCUUGUUUUGUCUUCUACAAAGGAUAAAAGUGCAGUUAGAGGAAAAGAAGUAAGCCCUUAUUAUUUUUUUAAAAGAAUAAGUAGAGUAGUAUUGAGAGCAGGACAUGCACACCAUAUCUGAAUUUACCAAAUAUUAAUUUCAGGCUUGCUGUUUCAUGGACCAAGAUAAUGUUUUGUUGACCAGCAAUGCAGAGGUCGUUCCUCUCUUUAUUUAUUCCAGCAUUGCCUUGUUCUCAAUAUUGUUUCAGAGAACAUAGAUAUAUUAAUAGAUGCAUAUUUCAAGUUCGUGAUAUAUGAUCAGUCCUAAAGAAAGCACUAGGAGCAGCUACGUAACAGCAUAUACCUUUCCAAAAAAAAAACACCAUGAGCAUGUUCAUAGCUUACAAACCCAAAAUCUGGUGCUAGGACUGUCAAAAAUCAUAUUUGGUGGGUGCAACUAUAACUUUCUAAUAUGUAUUAGCUGCUGGUGCUAUCAGUUUAAUUUAAUCUUACAUUGCAUUCUUUGUAGAAACGGAGGGAGAACCCUUCUAUGUUAAUUGAGACAAAACUCUAAUGAAUAAAAGGGUUUGUUUCGAUUUGUAGUAUAUUUGUCUAGAUGAACACGCUGCAUGCUUCUCCGUUAGAAGAAUUACUAGAAAGCUUAAUCCUUGUCCUUCUGUGUUCAAUAUGGCCGAACUUUGAAAGUGAUUACAUGUCUGGUUUGGUUCUUCUGAAUGUCAUUGUCGCACAGGAUAUAUGCACCUGUCUAUGACCAAUGUGUUUCUAUCAGCAAUGUCAGUAAAAUGAAAAGUAUUUUUAGGAGUAUGGUGUUAUCUACCUACAGCACUAACUGUUAUGUUGCUCUAAUUAUUCCAAAUACAUGGAUCUGUAUAUCUAUUUUUAGGAGAUGGCCUAGAGGUGAACGAAACUGAACAGAAGCACACAUGUUUGACUAUCCCUUCCCAUGUGUUUUUUAUGGCUCAUAGAACUUACAUUAUAAAGUUGCAGUAAUAUGAAUAAAAGAUGUUUCAGGUGUGAAAAGCAGCCUUAUGGUGAGAAGCUAAUUAUCCCUGUGAUGUCUGGCUCUGAUGCUUGGCAAAAUUUCAAGCAUCAAUUGUGCUACCAUUGUGUACAAGUGGGCUAACAGAGAAGAUUUUGGUGUACCCAGAGGCUGAGUGAGAAAUAUGGAUAGAUCUUGCUACAUUUUUAGACCAUGUUUUAAAUUCUUGUGUUGCAUCAAUUAGACCAUAUUUUAAAUUCCUGUACCAAUCAAUAAUUAAUAAUGAAUUAAGACAAGUUUAUACGGUGGCUCGGUGGCUCUGAUAUAAUAUUUUUGUUAAACUA